This 581-nucleotide ribosomal RNA is filed under the name uncultured bacterium. RNAcentral describes it as "partial 16S ribosomal RNA". It matches the Rfam family "Bacterial small subunit ribosomal RNA", at positions 355 to 932 of the family's 1533-position model. The record is from RNAcentral.
UGGGGAAUUUUGGACAAUGGGCGAAAGCCUGAUCCAGCAAUGCCGCGUGUGUGAAGAAGGCCUUCGGGUUGUAAAGCACUUUUGUCCGGAAAGAAAUCCUUGGCUCUAAUACAGUCGGGGGAUGACGGUACCGGAAGAAUAAGCACCGGCUAACUACGUGCCAGCAGCCGCGGUAAUACGUAGGGUGCAAGCGUUAAUCGGAAUUACUGGGCGUAAAGCGUGCGCAGGCGGUUUGCUAAGACCGAUGUGAAAUCCCCGGGCUCAACCUGGGAACUGCAUUGGUGACUGGCAGGCUAGAGUAUGGCAGAGGGGGGUAGAAUUCCACGUNUAGCAGUGAAAUGCGUAGAGAUGUGGAGGAAUACCGAUGGCGAAGGCAGCCCCCUGGGCCAAUACUGACGCUCAUGCACGAAAGCGUGGGGAGCAAACAGGAUUAGAUACCCUGGUAGUCCACGCCCUAAACGAUGUCAACUAGUUGUUGGGGACUUCAUUUUCCUUAGUAACGUAGCUAACGCGUGAAGUUGACCGCCUGGGGAGUACGGUCGCAAGAUUAAAACUUAAAUGAAUUGACGGGGUCAUAGCUG